AACUGCGUGGAUUAGAUACCCUAGUAGUCCACGCCCUAAACGAUGGAUACUGGGUGUAGGGGGUAUCGACCCCCUCUGUGCCGAAGCUAACGCGUUAAGUAUCCCGCCUGGGGAGUACGGCCGCAAGGCUAAAACUCAAAAGAAUUGACGGGGACCCGCACAAGCAGCGGAGCGUGUUGUUUAAUUCGAUGCAAAGCGAAGAACCUUACCAAGGCUUGACAUGUAUCCGCUAUCCCGGGAAACCGGGAGUU
RNAcentral lists this ribosomal RNA (251 nucleotides) under uncultured Thermodesulfobacteriota bacterium. RNAcentral describes it as "uncultured Thermodesulfobacteria bacterium partial 16S ribosomal RNA". It matches the Rfam family "Bacterial small subunit ribosomal RNA", at positions 767 to 1015 of the family's 1533-position model. Lineage: Bacteria; Pseudomonadati; Thermodesulfobacteriota. The record is from RNAcentral.